Molecule: transfer RNA, 77 nt
Filed under: Alphaproteobacteria bacterium
Lineage: Bacteria; Pseudomonadati; Pseudomonadota; Alphaproteobacteria
Also listed under: 1 other name
Description: tRNA-Arg
Rfam family: tRNA
About the family: Transfer RNA (tRNA) molecules are approximately 80 nucleotides in length.
Source: RNAcentral
GCACCCGUAGCUCAGUUGGAUAGAGCGCUGCCCUCCGAAGGCAGAGGUCGCACGUUCGAAUCGUGCCGGGUGCGCCA